RNAcentral lists this long non-coding RNA (1020 nucleotides) under Macaca fascicularis (crab-eating macaque). RNAcentral's name for it is "lncRNA (ENSMFAG00000053525.1)". The record is from RNAcentral. Lineage: Eukaryota; Metazoa; Chordata; Mammalia; Primates; Cercopithecidae.
GAUUAAACCAACACACAUAGUAACCUUUGUCCUGUGCUUGAUCUUCUGGUCAAAUUUUUGCAAGCAGUAGAACCCUUCCAGAAAUGACAGAGAAGAAAUGCAGUUGUGAUGUGAAGUGAGGGCAUGCAGAAUUCUACCUAUUGUACUUUGCAUUCUCAACAGGAGCCUUGGAAGGGGCGGCAAGGGUGGCAGUUCAGAGACAGACUGCCUGGGCUUGCGUUCUGAUUUGCAGAAGAACUUCCCACACAGGAGCCCAACCCUGGACAGUGACGGUGACCCAUGGAGAAUGCAUCAUGCCUGUCAGGGUCCUGUUGGUUCAGCGGCUGGGGAGGCAGCACCCUGCUGGGAGCGGUCACUUCCCACGAAGAUGGAUGGCUUUCUCUGUCCCGGCGACACUCUAACUGCCAGAGAUCCACCCGCGCUCACUGAAGACCUCUAUGUAUGAAGGAAGAGGAAGAGAGAGGGAAGGAAUAAGGAAAGAGGAUAUAGGACUGGAGAGAAGGAAAAAAACAAAAGGAAAAGGCAGAAGAAAGCUGAGUCCAUGUUUCAUGGACAGACAAGGUUUCGUCUGGAGUCAUCUUUUCUUAGCUAUGGGAUCCUAAACACAUUACUUAAUUCUUCCAAACCUCAGUUCCUCUCAUCUAUGAAAAAUGAAGACAAAGUAUCUAUUUUAGAGAAUUUUAAAGUCGUAAAUGUAUGAGAUAGAUGAUACCAAGUGUGAUACUCAAUACAGAGCAGGUGCUCAGCAAUUUUUCCACCUUCUUUAGAAUCAUUUAAAAAAAAUUAGCACUGCUUUUUUAAAACAGAUGAUCACUCAAGGACAGUCUCUUUGUACAGGACCAGCUGCAUCAUUUGUAGGACCUGGUGCCAAAUGAAAAUGUGGGUCCCUUGUUCUAGAAAACUAGGUUCAGAUAUUGCACAUGUUAAAUGCAGAUGCAGGACACGAAAUGGUGGAGGAGAUGCCCAUGACACAUCUCCUCUGCUCAUUGUCCCGUCAGACUUCACAUGCAACAAAAAGAU